AUGGCGUGUGCGGCGACCGCUCCUUCUGCCGGCGGCGUGGCGAUGGAAGCUGACGGCGGGCUAGAAUUCCUACUAGAUCCAGUAGACCGGUUUCCACUAAGAGAGGAGUCAGCAGAUAAUUUGGAACAUCCAGAUCCGGUGCCGUUGGCGCUACUGCCACGCUGCGAGAUCCGGGGAAGGAAGAAUGCUUCGCCAACUAGGUCUCCACAAUCCACGGGGGAGGUGAAUCACGAAGCACCUGGCUGGACCAAGGUUGAGGCUGGGGAGUACACCGCCCUGGAACAAUCCAUCCAGAAAUAUGCAGAAGAACCUAGUAAGAGUGUGGUGAAACCUGAACUUGGUCUGAGUUUUGACUUGUCGGGUGAGGCGUAUGACUUUUACAAUUUGUAUUCGUGGGUGGUUGGCUUUGGGAUACGCUAUGGUAAGAGUAGAUUGAACGAUAAGAGCACGAAGAUAAUGCAGGAGAUCCUGUCCGGCUGUGCGGGGAAGCCGGAGGUGAAGAACAGCCGGUCAUGCAGGUGCAGUGACAAGACAAGUCUGUAUGACAUGCCAUUCGGUCUUUUUGUUCGGGUGAACCACCAUUUCCAGAGUGUUAUACUGGUGGGUGUUCGCAGAAUUUCUUAG
RNAcentral lists this ribosomal RNA (624 nucleotides) under Triticum aestivum (bread wheat). Its description in RNAcentral is "partial small subunit ribosomal RNA". The record is from RNAcentral. Lineage: Eukaryota; Viridiplantae; Streptophyta; Magnoliopsida; Poales; Poaceae.